UACAGAGGGUGCAAGCGUUGUUCGGAAUUACUGGGCGUAAAGCGCGUGUAGGCGGUUUGAUAAGUCGGACGUGAAAUCCCUUGGCUUAACCAAGGACCUGCGCUCGAUACUGUCAGACUUGAGUCUCGGAGGGGGUGGCGGAAUUCCCGGUGUAGAGGUGAAAUUCGUAGAUAUCGGGAGGAACACCUGUGGCGAAGGCGGCCACCUGGAAGACGACUGACGCUGAGACGCGAAAGCGUGGGUAGCAAACAGG
This 253-nucleotide ribosomal RNA is filed under the name uncultured bacterium. RNAcentral's name for it is "partial 16S ribosomal RNA". It matches the Rfam family "Bacterial small subunit ribosomal RNA", at positions 524 to 776 of the family's 1533-position model. The record is from RNAcentral.